Molecule: ribosomal RNA, 497 nt
Filed under: uncultured bacterium
Lineage: Bacteria
Description: partial 16S ribosomal RNA
Rfam family: Bacterial small subunit ribosomal RNA
Source: RNAcentral
GAUGAACGCUGGCGGCGUGCCUAAUACAUGCAAGUCGAGCGAACAGACGAGGAGCUUGCUCCUCUGACGUUAGCGGCGGACGGGUGAGUAACACGUGGAUAACCUACCUAUAAGACUGGGAUAACUUCGGGAAACCGGAGCUAAUACCGGAUAAUAUAUUGAACCGCAUGGUUCAAUAGUGAAAGACGGUUUUGCUGUCACUUAUAGAUGGAUCCGCGCCGCAUUAGCUAGUUGGUAAGGUAACGGCUUACCAAGGCAACGAUGCGUAGCCGACCUGAGAGGUUGAGCGGCCAGACGGGAGCAGAGACACGGUCCAGACUCCUACGGGAGGCAGCAGUAGGGAAUCUUCCGAAAUGGGCGAAAGCCGGACGGAGAAAGGCCGCGGGAGUGAUGAAGGUCUUCGGAUCGUAAAACUCUGUUAUUGGGAAAGAAAAAAGGUGUAAGUAACUAUGCACGUCUUGACGGUACCUAAUCAGAAAGCCACGGCUAACUACGUG